UACACUCCACUCUUUCUUUCUCUCAUUUUAUAGUCUUGUAUAUAGUUUUAUUUUCUUUAAAAGUUAAGUAUUCAAGAGUUGUGCAAAGUUUCAAGGAAGCCAUCCAAGCAAUUCAUCACUAGUUCUUAUUUCUAAACUCUUAAUCUUGUUUAUUUCUUUCAUUAUCUUUAUUGAUUAUGGAAUAUUUAUCAAGUAUUGUUGAGUUUUAUUUAAGUACUAUGUGUAACUAAACUCUUAUACUAGGGGGUUUGAUGCAGCUUAAUCUAUUUUCCAAUUUAUGCAAUUAGAUUUAUUUUUCCUUAUUCAAGUUAUGAUUUAUUAAUGAACUUAAUGCUUCUAGGCAGAAUUUUCCCCUAGAUUGAUUUAUUUCAAUUAUCACUAUCGGAAGAAGGAUCUUU
Molecule: long non-coding RNA, 398 nt
Filed under: Jatropha curcas
Lineage: Eukaryota; Viridiplantae; Streptophyta; Magnoliopsida; Malpighiales; Euphorbiaceae
Description: long non-coding RNA (JCUR_LNC001671)
Source: RNAcentral